GCUGACGAGUGGCGGACGGGUGAGUAAUGUCUGGGAAACUGCCUGAUGGAGGGGGAUAACUACUGGAAACGGUGGCUAAUACCGCAUAACGUCGCAAGACCAAAGAGGGGGACCUUCGGGCCUCUUGCCAUCAGAUGUGCCCAGAUGGGAUUAGCUUGUUGGUGAGGUAACGGCUCACCAAGGCGACGAUCCCUAGCUGGUCUGAGAGGAUGACCAGCCACACUGGAACUGAGACACGGUCCAGACUCCUACGGGAGGCAGCAGUGGGGAAUAUUGCACAAUGGGCGCAAGCCUGAUGCAGCCAUGCCGCGUGUAUGAAGAAGGCCUUCGGGUUGUAAAGUACUUUCAGCGGGGAGGAAGGUGUUGUGGUUAAUAACCACAGCAAUUGACGUUACCCGCAGAAGAAGCACCGGCUAACUCCGUGCCAGCAGCCGCGGUAAUACGGAGGGUGCAAGCGUUAAUCGGAAUUACUGGGCGUAAAGCGCACGCAGGCGGUCUGUCAAGUCGGAUGUGAAAUCCCCGGGCUCAACCUGGGAACUGCAUUCGAAACUGGCAGGCUUGAGUCUUGUAGAGGGGGGUAGAAUUCCAGGUGUAGCGGUGAAAUGCGUAGAGAUCUGGAGGAAUACCGGUGGCGAAGGCGGCCCCCUGGACAAAGACUGACGCUCAGGUGCGAAAGCGUGGGGAGCAAACAGGAUUAGAUACCCUGGUAGUCCACGCCGUAAACGAUGUCUACUUGGAGGUUGUGCCCUUGAGGCGUGGCUUCCGGAGCUAACGCGUUAAGUAGACCGCCUGGGGAGUACGGCCGCAAGGUUAAAACUCAAAUGAAUUGACGGGGGCCCGCACAAGCGGUGGAGCAUGUGGUUUAAUUCGAUGCAACGCGAAGAACCUUACCUGGUCUUGACAUCCACAGAACUUUCCAGAGAUGGAUUGGUGCCUUCGGGAACUGUGAGACAGGUGCUGCAUGGCUGUCGUCAGCUCGUGUUGUGAAAUGUUGGGUUAAGUCCCGCAACGAGCGCAACCCUUAUCCUUUGUUGCCAGCGAUUAGGUCGGGAACUCAAAGGAGACUGCCAGUGAUAAACUGGAGGAAGGUGGGGAUGACGUCAA
Molecule: ribosomal RNA, 1104 nt
Filed under: Salmonella enterica subsp. enterica serovar Braenderup
Lineage: Bacteria; Pseudomonadati; Pseudomonadota; Gammaproteobacteria; Enterobacterales; Enterobacteriaceae
Description: bacterial SSU rRNA
Rfam family: Bacterial small subunit ribosomal RNA
Source: RNAcentral